This 588-nucleotide long non-coding RNA is filed under the name Marmota monax (woodchuck). The record is from RNAcentral. Lineage: Eukaryota; Metazoa; Chordata; Mammalia; Rodentia; Sciuridae.
AGGGCUGGACCAGAAAGUUAAUUUCCUGUGCGUUCUUUCAACUACUAUUGGUUGAGCAUUGCGUACCGAGUACGGUGCUAGCCAUUGGAGUUCCCGAAGGGAAAGGGGAAGGAGGAAUGGAGGCGCCAACAGCACGUUCCUGAGCGUUGAGACCCGAAUUUUCAGAGGACCCCCCCCCCCCGGAAAUGGCAAGCUGAGGCAGAGCAGUGCGCUUGCGCUGGGAGGGAACUCGGCUGCUUUUGCUUGCUCAGAGUAUUAGUUGCCCUCAAGCAGGUUGCCAGUUGUUCAGUCUAUGAACUCGUUUCAUCAUCUGAACUGAUAAAAGUUGUUAGGAGCUCACAAUAAAGUAUGAAGCUCUAUGGGGACUGUUCAGUAUGCCCUUCUCCACACCGGCCUGGUAAGGGUUCCUUUGCAAAGUGCCAUCCCAGCUUUGAAGGCCUUCUUCACGUAUUCAGAGAUAGCACAAAACUGGACUCAAAAGAGCAAAAAGAACUGAAACAUUACUUCAAACUGCCUCUGUGACUGCUGUAGCACCAGCAGCACCACCGCCACCCGAAUCUGACCAGGACAACCCUUUGAGACCCCCUU